UGCCCACUGAUAUUAAAUUAAAGGGCUGCAGUAAUUUGACUGUACAAAGGUAGCAUAAUCAUUAGUCAUUUAAUUGAUGGCUUGUAUGAAGGAUUGGAUGAGAUAUGAACUGUCUUAAUUUUAAAUUAUAAAAUUUAAUUUUUUAGUAAAAAAGCUAAAAUAAAUUAAAAAGACGAGAAGACCCUAUAGAGUUUGAUUUUAAUUUUAAAUUUAAAAAAUUUUUUUAUUAGUUUAAGAUUUUUAAUUUAUUUUAAAAUUUUAUUGGGGUGAUAGAAAAAUUAAAUUAACUUUUUUUUUAUUUAUACAUAAAUAGAUGAAUUUUUGAUCCAGUUAUAUUGAUUAAAAGAAAAAAUUACCUUAGGGAUAACAGCGUAAUUUUUUUUUUUAGUUCAUAUAAAAAUUAAAGUUUGCGACCUCGAUGUUGGAUUAAGAUAAAAUUUAAAUGUAGAAGUUUAAAAUUUUGA
RNAcentral lists this ribosomal RNA (464 nucleotides) under Euproctis inornata. Its description in RNAcentral is "partial large subunit ribosomal RNA". The record is from RNAcentral. Lineage: Eukaryota; Metazoa; Arthropoda; Insecta; Lepidoptera; Erebidae.